Small nuclear RNA from Mesocricetus auratus (golden hamster), 120 nucleotides. The record is from Ensembl. Lineage: Eukaryota; Metazoa; Chordata; Mammalia; Rodentia; Cricetidae.
GUGAUGUGUGCAGGGAGAGAAAGAUAGAACUGCUCUUGACAAAGAUGCAUAAGACCUUUGGGCCUAACAACAGGCCCAUGUAUUGUGGCAUCUGAUGACUGUUUUUAAACUCUUGUUUUU